Quercus lobata is the source of this 1479-nucleotide long non-coding RNA. RefSeq lists it as uncharacterized. The record is from RefSeq and is a predicted model, not a curated record. The transcript has 4 exons. NCBI's taxonomy places the organism in Eukaryota, Viridiplantae, Streptophyta, Magnoliopsida, Fagales, Fagaceae.
ACCAAAACUAAAAAGAGAGACAGACACACAUUAAAUGAAGAAGAUGAAAGGGCUGUAGAAACAGAGGCCGGCAAAAAAAAAGGAAAAGAAGAAGAAAUGCGUAGCAGAGACAAAUACGGAGUAGAGGAGGAAAAACCGAGUUAGACGGCGCCCACAAGUUGAACUUGAGGAGUUCAGCUUUCUUGAGAAAUUUUUUUCUAUGACCCAACCGGAGGAAAGGACUUGGGCAAAAUUAGUUACACUUAAUACCAUCCAUUGGUAUUGUGAUGGACUUGAGCCAAUGCUAGCAGCCGUCAAAUACGAAGCAAAAAUCAGUAGAUAAAUGGACGACGCUAAGAGGAGAGCACUAAUUAGGUCGCAAGCUACCAAGAAAAAGGAGACCGGCGACGUGGCUCCUAAGGGGAUGGGCUCAAGCAACUUGUCCACAAAGAGGAAGCAACUGCUUAAAGAGGAUCGUCCUGCUAAGAAGCCCAAAGUCCCUUUGGAGCCCGUUGUAGGGCUAAUGGUUGAGGGUGCGAAGACGGUCACCCCAGUGAAGCACAGGGCUAGCAAAGGCCCUAUGAAGGCUUCGUCCACCAAUCAAGAGAAGCCACCUGUCCACCUCCACGAAGAUUCUAAACAUGCCUUGGAGCAGCUCUUGUCUAUCAUUUCGUCGGAGGAUUAUGAGGACUUGGGCAACCACUCCACAGAAGCCAUGGGGGAGACGGGUCUUUUUGCAAUCGCCUAGGCCAUGGUUGUGAUGAAAGGGCUGAUGGGACGCUGUCUUACCCAUAAGACAGCCCUGGAGCGUGUACGGGCAAAGGUAGAGCAGAUGGAGGAUGAUCUGAACCAACUACAAAGUUGGAAAUCCAAAAUGGAGAAAAAGUUCGAACUUUCGAAGAGGGUAAGAAAGAUCUUGAGCAGAGCAUGAAGGAGGCGAAGAAGGCCCUUGAGGGUAAGGACAAGAAGGUAUAGGACCUGAAGGAUAGGCUCCGUUUGGCUAAAGAGGUGGCGAUAUGGGAGUACCGUGACUCCGAAACCUUGCUGUCAAAGCUAGGAGACUCUUUCCUGCAGGGUUUUGACAAUGCCUUCCGUCAGGUUAAGAAGGCCUACCCCAACCUGGAUGUUUCAAACAUUAAAGUUGAGGACCAAGCUCAAACCUCCGCCAUGCCCGUCGCCUCAGAGGACACUUACAACCUUUUUGCUGAGAAUGCAACUCAAGGUGACAAAGAGUUAGCUCUGACCCAGAAUGCCCAAGGUCAAGUUCAAAUUGUAGGAGAUGACACCCGUUAGGAGAAGGAUGCAGACCCUCAGGAGUAGAUUUUUUUUUUUUUUUUUUUUGUAAGUUGGGAAAACAAUCCCUUAAUUUUAUUCGUCAUUAUGUUCAUGUUAAAAAAUUUCCCCUUCGAGGGUUUUAUAUUUCUAUCUGCCCAUUUUGAUUUAAUUGCUUGUUUCAUGGUUGCUAUGAAUGUAGUGGCUUGUUUCUCAUUUGACUCAUCC